Molecule: non-coding RNA, 994 nt
Organism: Oryctolagus cuniculus (rabbit)
Lineage: Eukaryota; Metazoa; Chordata; Mammalia; Lagomorpha; Leporidae
Source: RefSeq, a predicted model, not a curated record
AUUUGCUUGUCUUUUCAGGAGAUAAUCCACAAGGCUAUCCUCUGUGGAGAGGGUCAACCAUUUUCCUGGCUUGUCAGAGUUCUUUUUUCCCACGAGUGCAUAUUAGGACAUCAAAACAAGACAUGGUCCAUGUAUAAGUUAGGGAUCUGGCAAGAAACAAUCCAUUUCUGAUGGUUCAAAGACAGAAAUGAAGGGACUCCUUAGGACAUGCCAAGUUCCAUCUUGAAAUGGGCAAAAUAUUUAUCAGGGACUGCUGGAAAGCUUAUCUUUGUAGCUGCCCAAGAAAUAAGUGCCUAGUGAACAAGUGAAGUGAGUCAAUUCUGAAUACUAUAAUCAAGCAAGAAGAAGAAACAUCAGGGAGCAGAGGAAAAAAUAAACUGUCACUCUGUGAAGAAACACUAUGACCCCACUCCUUGACUGAAUAUGAAGACAAAGCAUAAUAUGAUAUUGUUAUGCAAAUGGUGGAACAGAGCAUCUAACUAAACAUUAAGCUAAUGUAGACUGCAUAACUCAUAUAAAACCAUCUCUUUUGAAACUGAGGAAGCCCUAGUACACUGCCCGGAAAGCAGUUCCUGAAGAUCUUAUGGCAAAUGCAUGGGGAUGGAGGCAAGCCUCUCUCUUGAUAUUGAAAUCGGAUUAUACAACUGGGUUCUUAGUCCUCCUAACACCACUCCCUGACACAAAUAAUGAGAAUUACUGCUGUAGGAAUAUGACUGGGACAAGAAAGUCUUCCCUCUAUUGAUGGGCCUGCCACAGAAGAAUGAAUUUAGCUGCCCCAAUUUGGAUCUUGCAAAGUCUGCUCUUUUCAUAUGCACUACUGUUUAUCUUUGGCUGGAUUGCAGCCUUAGCACCACAGCUGGAAGGAACUUUUGAGGUCAUUUGGCAUCUUGAAGUUGUGAUCCUUCAGAACCAUAGAAAUUAUUAUGCAACUCUCAGACCAGGAGGAACAACCAGCGUGUUUCUCACAUUUCCUUCUUCAGAAAAUUUCCUAAUA